CCUACGGGUGGCAGCAGUGAGGAAUAUUGGUCAAUGGACGAGAGUCUGAACCAGCCAAGUAGCGUGAAGGAUGACUGCCCUAUGGGUUGUAAACUUCUUUUAUAUGGGAAUAAAAUGUUCCACGUGUGGUAUUUUGUAUGUACCAUAUGAAUAAGGAUCGGCUAACUCCGUGCCAGCAGCCGCGGUAAUACGGAGGAUCCGAGCGUUAUCCGGAUUUAUUGGGUUUAAAGGGAGCGUAGGUGGGUUGUUAAGUCAGUUGUGAAAGUUUGCGGCUCAACCGUAAAAUUGCAGUUGAAACGGGCAUCAGUGAGGACAGGAGAGGGAGGCUGAAUUCGUGG
This 338-nucleotide ribosomal RNA is filed under the name uncultured bacterium. Its description in RNAcentral is "partial 16S ribosomal RNA". It matches the Rfam family "Bacterial small subunit ribosomal RNA", at positions 338 to 673 of the family's 1533-position model. The record is from RNAcentral.